GACGAACGCUGGCGGCGUGCUUAACACAUGCAAGUCGAACGGAAAGGCCCUGCUUUUGUGGGGUGCUCGAGUGGCGAACGGGUGAGUAACACGUGAGUAACCUGCCCUUGACUUUGGGGUAACUUCAGGAAACUGGGGCUAAUACCGGAUAGGAGCUCCUGCUGCAUGGUGGGGGUUGGAAAGUUUCGGCGGUUGGGGAUGGACUCGCGGCUUAUGAGCUUGUUGGUGGGGUGGGUGCUUACCAAGGCUUUGACGGGUAGCCGGCCUGGGAGGGUGACCGGCCACAUUGGGACUGCGGUACGGCACAGACUCCUACGGGAGGCAGCAGUGGGGAAUAUUGCACAAUGGGCGGAAGCCUGAUGCAGCAACGCCGCGUGCGGGAUGACGGCCUUCGGGUUGUAAACCGCUUUCGCCUGUGACGAAGCGUGAGUGACGGUAAUGGGUAAAGAAGCACCGGCUAACUACGUG
This 468-nucleotide ribosomal RNA is filed under the name uncultured bacterium. Its description in RNAcentral is "partial 16S ribosomal RNA". It matches the Rfam family "Bacterial small subunit ribosomal RNA", at positions 28 to 507 of the family's 1533-position model. The record is from RNAcentral.